CUCCAAUCUCCUCUGUGGAGCUUUGCAGCCCAUUCAGGGUUAUCUUUGGUCUCUUUGUUGCCUCUCUGAUGAAUGCCCUCCUUGCUUGGUCCUUGAGUUUUGGUGGGCAGCCCUCUCUUGGAAGGUUUGUUGUGGGGCUAUAUUCUUUCAAUUUUUUAAUAAUGGAUUAAAUGGUGCUCUGUGGGAUGUUCAAAGUUUCAGAUAUUUUUUAUAACCCAACCCUAAUCUGUACUUCUCCACAACUUUGUCCCUGACCUGUUUGGAGAGCUCCUUGGUCUUCAUGGUGCCGCUUGCUUCGUGGUGUUGCAGAUUCUUGGGUCUUUCAGAACAGGUGUAUGUAUACUGAGAUCAUGUGACAGAUCAUGUGACACUUAGAUUGCACACAGGUGGACUUUAUUUAACAAAUUAUGUGACUUCUGAAGGUAAUUGGUUGCACCAGUUUAUUUACAUUUAAAAAAAAAAAUGUUAACAAGUACUAUUUUGUUUAUUUCCAUUAUAUGAAAUCCAAAUAAAAAUCUAUUUAAAUUACAGGUUAUAAUGCAACAAAAAAGCAAAAAUGCCAAGGGGAUGAAUACUUUUGCAAGGCAUUGUAUGGCGUAGAAAAAGACGAGUGACUGGGGUUUAAAGGAAUCCUCUGACAGUGACGGUGGAUGGGAUCAAUAUGGGAUUUCAGUCACUGACUGAGUUUUUCCAGUGACUGUUUUGGUAUGGAGAGAAGAUAAAAAAAUAUUGACUACCCAUUGGGUUGGAGAAGAUGAUUGAUGGUGAAUGAAAUUCAUGCAAAUUAUAGGGUUAAUCAGAGGCCUACUGUAAUUUUCUCCAUUGUUAAAAUGGGUGCAAUGGACAGUGGCAAUGCAGUUAGUGGAACAUGUAAAUAUGUGAAAGAAAGCACACCUACCUGGGGACAGAGCGGCAGAGACAGUGAAGGAAAUGCCUGAGAGAGAGUGAAAUAAGAGGCUCUCUAUCUCUGAGCUGUGAAGCACACCUUUCUGUCUGACAGGACUGACUGCCCUAGUUUCUUAUGAAGAAGAUAUUCUCUAAGCUGACCUGCCUGAAGAGGAGAUGAAGCCUAGACCAACCACCUUCUAGGAUGAUUCUUAUCAAAAACAGUGUGAUCCAUCUAUUGGUUUUGCAGGGGUAUUUGAUUGUACAUAGUCUUAAAUCAGAUAGAGAUUUGAAAUUAUUAUCAAUGUCUUCAUCUUCAUGCUUUUAUAAUUGUUUUCCUUAAUUCUGGAAAAAAAUUAUAACUUGUCAGACAGUCAAGCAUGACUGAUUGAUUUUUAUUUGGACGUUUUAACAAACGCAAUGGCUAUGUUUCUACGGUCCAUGUGAUUGGUUCAUGGCUUUGCAGAGUGUUCUGAUCAGUAGUUACCCACACAUUUUAAUCAGCCUUCUCUUUGGGUAAACCAUCAUGAGCUGGAUAUUGGGCAAUUGUCUUUAAUAUUUAAACAAUUAUUUGAAAUCUAAUUUGCAAUUAGUCUGCCAUGUCUCUUUCAAGGAGGUACAUUUCUUUUUUUAUUGGAAAUGUGAGAAUGUUGUUUAUUUCAUGUUAUUUUAAUAAAAUGAAGUGAAACUAA
Oncorhynchus tshawytscha (Chinook salmon) is the source of this 1577-nucleotide long non-coding RNA. The record is from Ensembl. Lineage: Eukaryota; Metazoa; Chordata; Actinopteri; Salmoniformes; Salmonidae.